RNAcentral lists this unclassified non-coding RNA (345 nucleotides) under Viola scorpiuroides. Its description in RNAcentral is "partial contains external transcribed spacer and 18S ribosomal RNA". Lineage: Eukaryota; Viridiplantae; Streptophyta; Magnoliopsida; Malpighiales; Violaceae. The record is from RNAcentral.
CUUGUUCCGUGCUGCGACCCUCUGAUGCGGAAUCGGAAUUCAAACUGCCCCUUCCUGUCCCGCGCCUACAAGGCUCGGGGCGGACCUCGAGGCGGUGCGAGUGCCCCAAGCACGCCCUCGGGGCUGCUAUGGAUCACUCGUUCCCGCUCGUGCCUUCGGAUGCGGAACGCUAUGCGAUGCGAGGGGCGCACACGGAGCCCCCCCCAUGACCCUAAUAUAAGAGCAAAACUCUGCUCCCCGAGAAUGACCGCCGCGCGCCUCUCCCCCAUCCUACCGUUCGCUCGGCGAUGGGAGCUAGCUCGCCGCGGUGCCAUCGAGGGCUGCUACCUGGUUGAUCCUGCCAGU